Long non-coding RNA from Manis pentadactyla (Chinese pangolin), 8057 nucleotides. RefSeq lists it as uncharacterized. NCBI's taxonomy places the organism in Eukaryota, Metazoa, Chordata, Mammalia, Pholidota, Manidae. The record is from RefSeq and is a predicted model, not a curated record. The transcript has 5 exons.
GAGCCUGUGCAGCAGGCAGAGGGGUCUGACGGUGUGGAACCUGGCUAGCAAGCCCAAGCAAGCGGAUAACGGAUUUUCAUGAACCAAUAAAAAAGCGAUGGGUCGUUUGGACCUUGUAGGCACUGAUGGGCGGCGCUUCCAGGAGAAGCUACUAGGAGUGGAUCAGGCUAAGGAGGCAUCGUCCGACCGCCUUCUGCAUUACCACAAACCAACGGCAGGGGGAGCCUGCGGCUUACAAAGGAAGUUACCCUCGCUGCGUGAUCCUGGCGUCGGGUGGGUAGUGCGUUCCCUCGCUCCCUCACCCUCCCAGCAGCCUGGAGUCUACUCUGAAACUGGAGAGUGAUUUGGGCCUGAUCCUGUCCAGUCUGAGAGAGACAGAGGCCAGCCUGCUGUCAGAGAUAACAUGGCUGUUGGAAGGGAAGUCUGGGGAAAACAUUUUAAUAAAGAAUCCUGGGAAUUCCUGCUCCAGUUGUGAGAGGGUCUCCCCGGGGCAAGCCUGAAUUAACCCCAAGGAGACAACCUGACAGCUGGGAACUAUGCGUGCCUGCCACAUACCUGUUACUCAUCCAGAUGGUGGAAAAACAAGGCGGACAAUCCCGGUGACCAAACAUGAGUGGAAAAACAAGGCGGACAAUCCCGGUGACCAAACAUGAAGGGGUCUGGAGCCUUCGGUGCCUCUGACCCUCUCCUCGUCAGUGCCCAGCUCUGGUGGUGGCCCCAGAGGGAGGCCAUUCACACGGUGUUCUGAAGGACACCACCCCUCUGGCUGGGAGGCCCAAGGCUCCUGUUCUCUCCUUCUCCUUUGCUUGGGGGUGAUGUGCAUGUAUAGUAGGUGCUCACUGCAUAAUCACCAGCGGCCUGAGACACAGAGAGGGGGGCAGGCUGAGGACCACCCCCCACCCACGGAAGAUCUUGGCACUGCACCUUGCCAGUGUUGUGGUGUGCAAAAAUUGGAAUUUCACAAUAAUUCUCGGAGCCCUGAAAGAAGAUGCUGUCAUAAGUGGAUAUAGUGCUUGGGUGGUGGCAGACCAGCAGGGGGAGAAGAGACACCACUGAGACAUCACUCCUGCAGAAAAACUUGUCCUGCAUGGUGGCCAGAGGAAGAAGAAAUAUGGAUGGACAGGUCUCCAAACUAUACCUAAACCUUGUGUCUCAACAAAGAAGUCACAAGGCUGCUCACUCUCCACUCUGCAGACUCUUCUCUGGUUUGCAGAGGCCAGUGGUCAUAUUAGUGGGUCAUCUAGUCUUCUCACCUCUUUGUUGAUGUCUUUAGUGCUGGAAUAAUUUGCCCUGUUUCUUAUGUCACUAUACCCCCAGGAGAGAUGUGAAAUAGGUUUCUCCUCAUGUGUGCCAGUGGCUGGACAGGCCCCAUCUUGAGAAGGACUCCACAUCACAUGCCCCCAGCUCAGGGUCCCCGAACAGACCCUGAGAUGGAUUCAGAUGCUCUGAGUUCAUUGAGGGAAGCCUCUCUGGCAAAAGGGGGUGAAGGAAGCCAGAUGGAGGGGAAGGAGCUGCAUCAGGAAGUGGUCUUGGCGGCAGCCUAGCUUCAGCCUGAUCCCAUGGGGGGCCUGGUGCACGAAUCACACCUCAGAGUUGGUCCCACCUUGAGGCAAGAAGGCUGGACUUACUAGUCCAGGGCAAGAGUAGCCCCUUAUUCACUAGCUGUUGGUUGCAGGCUGCCUGGGGUGAGGCACCUCUCAUUUUGUUGAGCAUGAUUCUCUGCAGAUGAGGACAGCUGUGAGCCUCUAGCAGCUGGCACUCACAGCAGCUGCGAGACGGAAGUACUUGCCGACAAAGCGGACCUGGUGCCCUAAAGAUUAUGGGACAAUUGAUGUGCAAGACCCUUGGUUAAAGACAACUGCUGAGGAAAAUUCAGAAACGUGAUGCAUCUCUAAAUAAGUCAUUAGCACAGCCAAAAACUGUAGUGCUCACUGAACUGAGAUGAAUUCAUUGAAUUCAUUGACUUGUGCCUUUAUUUAGAAAACAAUGAGUUUAUCCAGGAAAGCAAUUAAACUCUGGCCUAUCAAAAGAAACCUGUUGCUCUUUGUAUAAACUGAACUAUUAUUGUUUACAUAGGAUGUAAAGGUUAAGGCAGCUUAGAUAAUUGCCUUUUCUGUGGCUACAUUAUGUUUUCAAAUAGAAAUAAUCUCAUGAUAUAGAUCAAUGCUGAAUGAGAUAAAAUGAUGAUUUCCAGGAUCCUGACCAUUUUUCUAAUCUCUGCUCAUUAUCUAAUAUCAUGCAGAGUAGGAGGGAUGAAAGGCAAAUGUUUAAAGCCACCAUUUUUGUGGCUGGCUUCUUUCGCUUAGCAUAAUGUUUUCAAGGUUGAUCCAUGUUGUAACAUGUUUUAAUACCCCAUUACUUUUUACUGCCAAGUAAUAUUUCAUAGUAUUUAUAUAUCACAUUUUAUUUAUCCAUUCAUCCAUUUUGGACAUUUAUUUGUUUCCUUUUAUUUAUUUAUUUUUGACCAUAUAGUAGGUUUUGACCAAAUAGUAGGCUGCUAGGAACAUUUGUGUACGUAUUUUUGAGUGAACAUAUAUUUUUAUUUCCCUUGCAUAUAUUCCUAAGAGUUGAAUUGCUAGGUCAUAGGUCAGACCUUUAAAAUAAUAUAAUGUGGCAACUCUGGGAAUCAGAUUAUUGCCUCUCUCCUGCAUUUGUCAUUGUUGUGUUGUUGUUUGUUUACUGGCUUAUCUGAAUUAAUUCUGUAAAGUCUGUAUUUUUUCUCAUAGGUAGCCAAAAAGUCCGCCCCAUUUAGCUUAGUGGUAUGCUAAUUAUUAGACAGAGGUUCCUUAAGUGCAUAGAACCAGUAUGUCUCCUAAUCUUUGCAAGGGGCUCUGUGUGUGUAUUGGGGGCAUAUUCUCAACACUCAGACAAUAGUUUACAAAUUUGUGUUAGUCUUUACUUCCUGCUUGCACAGGUCCUCCAGGUCAGUCAGAGCUGAAAGCUUAAGGCCUUCUCAGGUCUUUCCUGAGCAUGACACAAGUCUGGGAAGGCCCAGAGUCCUAUUCAAAUGUGCAGCUUUCUAAAUUCCCCAGAAUACUUCAGAAAUUUUCAAAGCCUCCUGUGUACAACUCAUUCCUCAGCUUUUCCUUUUAAGUUUUUUUGGUUGGCCUAUUGUUUGCCUGAAGUCUUAUCUACUGUCUCAGGCAGCCAUGAUGUUAAACAACUGUCUCUGAUAGUUUCUGACAAAUGUCCUUUAAAGAAAACACUGUUUGUACUUAGGGAGGUCUGAGUCAUGUCAAAUAAAGACAGCCUUCUUAGCAGGGUCUUCCAGGGACCCACCAGACUGGUCAAAUAAUGAAAGUUCUCUGGAAAUGGAGCUUUGAAGGAGUUCCAACCCUGCUCUGACCUCUCUUGUGGCUGCCAGGCUGCUGGUUUUCAUUGUGAUUAUGGGCUGUUGGUUUUCAAGAGUUCGGCUGAUCUGAGAGUGGGGCUAGAGCAAGUUAAAAUGCCAGAAAGCUGUUUGUAACAAGAUUUCACCAUUUUUCUUGAGUAAGUGCACCUUGGAUUGCUGCAAGCCUUUGGUUAAUUUAUAUAUUUCUGAAAAAAUUGAUUUUGAUAAUUUUUGCCAGUAUUUUUAUGGAGAGGGGUUUCAGAGAUCCUUAGUUCAUCAUUUUUGCUGACAUCCCCCACAAUGAAUUUUGAUGAUAUGGCACCACAAAGUCUCAGAACUUCAUCUUAGAAUCCUAGGUUUCUCAUCAUGGGUUAAAUUUCAGUAUUCUAUCUUGCAAUCUUUUUGUUUACAUAGAUUACAUAAAUAAUGGUAAAAACCUACCACCAAAACAAUGGAGAAACAAAAAAACUGUGUUUCUCAAUUUUUGGUUUAGAUACCUAGGUCACUCUAAUCAUAGGACAAAAUCAUCACAUGUCAGAGAAACAGGUGGCUAAUGGCUAAUUAGAAUAAGCGAGGGGUUCCUCUUGAUCCUCUAUAGAACAAAGGGUAUGAGUAACAGGGCAAAGAAGAAAUGCAGUGGUUCCCUUUAUGUCCCCAGAAAAAGAAGACUCUUACAUUCAGCUUGCCUUUGGCUUCCUCCUAGAUCUCCUUCUGAUAUGGACACCAGCUUGUCAUAUGAUCUCAGCUAGGGUGACAUAUCCUGCCCUAUCCUGGCCUCCUUUAAGUUCUGCACUAUUCCCUAGUAGACAUUAGCACACGGCUCAACUCACAUCCAGCUUACACCUCUAUCCCUUGCCUCUUGGCCUACUAGGGUCCCAUUGUCUGAGAAAUCAGCCUUGCUGGGAGUCUCUUGCUUUCCUGUUUAGAAACAGCUCGUGGAGAAGUUUUAGUAGCCAGCCAAAGCCAGACAUAUCUCCCAAAUGUUGCUCCCAAAUGCUGCCUCUGUAUGACUUGGUGGAAAAAUCAUUCAGUUCAGGCAAGGUGAGUGCAGUGGGGAGAUGUCCCCUCAAGAAGGGUUGGAGCGAGAGCAGGGCAAGUGUGGGCAGCAGCCUGCUGACUGGCCCAGGCUGUGACCCUGAUUUGCAAUGUCUCUUUCAGAAGCUUUCAAAUCACAUUCGGCUCUGGCUGUUGUUGACUUGAUGAGCAGUGUCAGAAGUGCCAAGAGCUCUUCUGCAUGGCCUCAUCGGGGGCCCAUGCCCCUUGGGAGCCAAUGUUUGCAGCCUCUAGGCAUUUCUUGGCCUGCUUUGCUCCUCCAGACCACCCCACCUGCCUUCCCAGCUGCCCUCACUCUCCUAGAGGCCCAGGUGUUCCCCUUUGGUGCGCUGGACCCAGCAACCAGACACAGGCCGGGGGUGUUUUCUGGGCAGCUAGAUCCUGUCCAACCAGUGGUCUCAACCUGGCUUCAUACUGGAAUCCUCUGGGGGACUUUUGAAAAUACCAGUUCUGAAUCCUACUCUGAGCCACUUAAAUCAGAGGGUCUGGAAGGGGCUUGUGAUUUUCAGACAAGAAAACUGAGGCCAUGAGCAGGUAAAUGACUUUCCAACUUUGCAUGGCUAGUGAAUGGCAGAGAGGGACUGGACUCCAGGCACUCUGACGCUCAGCCCAGUGUCCUGUGCACUGGUACUGAUAUUGCUGUUGUCUCUGCUGUUAUUUCUGUGUCCAGGUUUUCCAACUUAGAUUUCUUGGACUGUUAAGACUUUUAUUCCUAGACGUGGAAAGGUUUUGUUUUUUUUUAAUUGAAAUUGGACCAUAUUUAUUUUUGUCCUCCUUUUAACCUCCACUCACCCUAGAUUUUCUUAUCCAAGUGACAAAUGGUCUGGACUUUUUUUUUUUUUUUUUGAGAGGGCAUCUCUCAUAUUUAUUGAUCAAAUGGUUGUUAACAACAAUAAAAUUCUGUAUAGGGGACUCAAUACACAAUCAUUAAUCAACCCCAAGCCUAAUUCUCAACAGUCUCCAAUCUUCUGAAGCGUAAUGAACAGGUUCUUACAUGGUGAACAAGUUCUUAUAUAGUGAAUAAGUUCUUACAUGGUGAACAGUGCAAGGACAGUCAUAUCACAGAAACUUCGGUUUUGAUCACGCAUCAUGAACUAUAAACAAUCAGGUCAAAUAUGAUUAUUCAUUUGAUUUUUAUACUUGAUUUAUAUGUGAAUCCCACAUUUCUCCCUUAUUAUUAUUAUUAUUAUUUUAAAUAAAAUGCUGAAGUGGUAGGUAGAUGCAAGAUAAAGGUAGAAAACAUAAUUUAGUGCUGUAAGAGGGCAAAUGUAGAUGAUCAGGUCUGUGCCUAUAGACUAAGUAUUAAUCCAAGCUAGACAAGGGCAACAAGACAUCCACGGAUGCAGAAGAUUCCUUUCAAAACAGGGGGGAUGAGGUUCUAAGCCUCACCUCUGUUGAUCCCCAGUUUCUCACCUGAUGGCCCCCCUGCGACUGUGCCUGUCUUAGGUUGUUCCUCCCUUGAGGAAUCUUACCUGUAUCUGGCUAACCAGUCAUCUUCCAGGGCCAUACAGGGAAAUGUAAAGUUGGUGAGAGAGAAGCAAUAUUCUUUGAAAAGGUUAGCUUUUUACCUCUUUGCAGAUUUAUGCCCUGUGGCUUCUAUGCCCAGCAUUUGUCUUGAGGUAUCUUUACCACUUGGAAGAAUUAUGAUACUUGGUAAUUUUCUAUAUGAGGCACGAAUUCUACUAAAGGGUUGUAAUUAGGAAGGAAGAAGAGAAGCUAUAGAAGUAGCAGACGGAAGAAAACAUGGGAAGAUUGAUUAUUUCUUCGACAUAUCUUCUUGUAGAGUAACAUAAGCAUGUAUAGGUUUUAAACUACUAAUUAAAUUGCGUGCACACAUUAACAUAAUAGGAAUACAGCUACAUAACAAAAUCAGACCUACAAUUACCAGCCAUAUCCAGUGAAACCAAGAAAACCAGUUAGGCACCCUAGGCAUUUGUGAAAACUUAUCAAUGAUAUGAUGGAUAUUGUCUAACUGAAUUUGAAUAGUUUGAGAAAAAUCAGACAAAUUAUAACAACACAUUCCUGGGAACUGUUCACAUCCCAUAUGUUCUUUUAACAGUAGAUACUCUAUAGUCGCAAGAUUUUGGAGCUCUGCAACUUGCACUUCUCCUAAUUCUUGGUUGAGUUCCGACAGUAUAGAUCCAGUCAAAUUUAUUGUUUUACUGUAGGCACAGGCCAGCUUAGAUAUCUCCUUCUUCAUUCCAAUGGCAAGUCCAGGAACUGGUGGGAUGAAUGCAGCUACAACUGCAGCAGCGCCAGGAUCUUUGUUGAAGUUUUUUGAUGACCACCUUCUGGAAUGACUCUUCUAGAGGAUGUUGAUGUUGGAAGUUCUUCUUCAUAUCGUAUCUUAAUUCAUUUUCUGGGUAGCCAAAUUAGGCUUUGAUCCUCUGUAUAAACACAAACAAACCCUUUGCCCACACUUUGAUCGUGGAAAGGAUUUUUUUACUUUUCAGUAUUUUAAAAAGCUUAACAGAAAUUAUGUCUUAGUCUGUGACUGUAUACAUGGUCUCUUAGUAAAUGUAAAUUGUUUGGAAGGCAGAAAGGUUUUAAAACCCAAGAGCUCACAGGAAGAACAUUAAUACAGGGGUCACUGGUCAACAUUUUAUAAAAAAGGUCCCUGACUGGGACACCUGUGGCACUGUUUAAAUCCUAGCUCUCUUACCCUCCAAGGUUCUGGCCAGUGGGUCUGGCAUUGCCAGAAACAUCCACAGAUGGGAUGCAGUGCACUCUCCAGGGAAAGCCUCAGCCCCUGCUGAGAUGCAGAGGUCCCAGUGAACCGCCAGGGGAAUGUGGUGGGGCCUCAGAUGUCCUGUCCCAGGGUGGGGGCCUCCAGGCCUUCCGGGUGGACCUGACUGCCGUGCUCAUCAGCGAGGAGAAGUGGAGGAGGGCUGGGUCAAGAGCACGGGCGCCUGGGUGGUGCGGGGGUGGGUGGCCUCUAAUGCAGUGAGCCCUCCCGCAGGUAGCUGGGGCUGGCAGUGUCAGGUGCUUACCAGGGUUCUUUCUGUUUCCUAGAGGACGGGUGGGAAGGAAUAAAGAGGAAACAGAAGUGUUUCCUUCCAUACUCCCUGUGGUAGGUUGAAUAAUGGCCCCCCAAAAUGUCCAUGUUGUAACCCCUAGAAUCUGUUAAUUACCUCAGAUUAUCCUGGGAGGCCCAGUGGAAUCACAACAGUCCUUUUAAGAGUCUAGAGGGUCAGAGUCAGAAAGGAGAUGUGACCAUGGAAGCAGAGGUCAGAGUGAUGGUCAUGUGCCAAGGGAUGCAGGCAACCUCUCCAAACUGGAAAAGGCAAGAGCUGGAUUUUCUCCUAGAGAUUCUAGAAAGAAACAUCCCUGCCAAUACUUGGACUUUAGUGCACUGAGACUGAUCUGGGACUUCUGAGAAUAUUAGAAGAAUUCCUGGUAAUAGUCAUUAUGCCUUUUAUAGCUAAGUGGGUUUUUUUCCCAUAUUAAAAAAAUGAAUACUUGAAUAUAGUCCAUGCUUGAAAGUUAGAAAAGGGUAUUUAAUGCAAAGAGAUUCUCUCCUCUCCUGUCUUCCAGCCACGAUGUUCUUCUCCUCCCUAAAAAAGAGCAGCAGUUAACCAGUUUCUUGUGGAUACUUCCAGAGGAAUGUCAUGCAUACACAAGCCUAUACAUACAUAAGUGUACACUUUGUGCAAAUAGUAUAUCAUGCACAGUA